AACGAACGCUGGCGGCAGGCUUAACACAUGCGAGUCGAACGGGUGUAGCAAUACAUCAGUGGCAGACGGGUGAGUAACACGUGGGAACCUUCCUAGGGGUACGGAACAACUCAGGGAAACUUGAGCUAAUACCGUAUACGUCCGUGAGGAGAAAGAUUUAUCGCCCUUAGACGGGCCCGCGUCGGAUUAGCUAGUUGGUGGGGUAACGGCCUACCAAGGCGACGAUCCGUAGCUGAUCUUAGAGGAUGAUCAGCCACACUGGGACUGAGACGCGGCCCAGACUCCUACGGGAGGCAGCAGUGGGGAAUCUUGGACAAUGGGCGCAAGCUUGAUCCAGCCGUGCCGCGUGAGUGAAGAAGGUCUUCGGAUUGUAAAGCUCUUUUGCCAGGGACGAUAAUGACGGUACCUGGAGAAUAAGCCCCGGCAAACUUCGUGCCAGCCGCCGCUGUAA
This 451-nucleotide ribosomal RNA is filed under the name uncultured bacterium. Its description in RNAcentral is "partial 16S ribosomal RNA". It matches the Rfam family "Bacterial small subunit ribosomal RNA", at positions 29 to 523 of the family's 1533-position model. The record is from RNAcentral.